GAUGAACGCUGGCGGCGUGCCUAAUACAUGCAAGUCGAGCGAACGGACGAGAAGCUUGCUUCUCUGAUGUUAGCGGCGGACGGGUGAGUAACACGUGGAUAACCUACCUAUAAGACUGGGAUAACUUCGGGAAACCGGAGCUAAUACCGGAUAAUAUUUUGAACCGCAUGGUUCAAAAGUGAAAGACGGUCUUGCUGUCACUUAUAGAUGGAUCCGCGCUGCAUUAGCUAGUUGGUAAGGUAACGGCUUACCAAGGCAACGAUGCAUAGCCGACCUGAGGGGGUGAUCGGCCACACUGGAACUGAGACACGGUCCAGACUCCUACGGGAGGAAGCAGUAGGGAAUCUUCCGCAAUGGGCGAAAGCCUGACGGAGCAACGCCGCGUGAGUGAUGAAGGUCUUCGGAUCGUAAAACUCUGUUAUUAGGGAAGAACAUAUGUGUAAGUAACUGUGCACAUCUUGACGUUACCUAAUCAGAAAGCCACGGCUAACUACGUG
RNAcentral lists this ribosomal RNA (497 nucleotides) under uncultured bacterium. Its description in RNAcentral is "partial 16S ribosomal RNA". It matches the Rfam family "Bacterial small subunit ribosomal RNA", at positions 28 to 507 of the family's 1533-position model. The record is from RNAcentral.